GUGGGGAAUAUUGCACAAUGGGCGAAAGCCUGAUGCAGCAACGCCGCGUGAGCGAUGGAGGCCUUCGGGUCGUAAAGCUCUGUCCUCAAGGAAGAUAAUGACGGUACUUGAGGAGGAAGCCCCGGCUAACUACGUGCCAGCAGCCGCGGUAAUACGUAGGGGGCUAGCGUUAUCCGGAAUUACUGGGCGUAAAGGGUGCGUAGGUGGUUUUUUAAGUCAGAAGUGAAAGGCUACGGCUCAACCGUAGUAAGCUUUUGAAACUAGAGAACUUGAGUGCAGGAGAGGAGAGUAGAAUUCCUAGUGUAGCGGUGAAAUGCGUAGAUAUUAGGAGGAAUACCAGUAGCGAAGGCGGCUCUCUGGACUGUAACUGACGCUGAGGCACGAAAGCGUGGGGAGCAAACAGGAUUAGAAACCCGAGUAGUCC
RNAcentral lists this ribosomal RNA (424 nucleotides) under uncultured bacterium. RNAcentral's name for it is "partial 16S ribosomal RNA". It matches the Rfam family "Bacterial small subunit ribosomal RNA", at positions 354 to 796 of the family's 1533-position model. The record is from RNAcentral.